Molecule: ribosomal RNA, 453 nt
Filed under: uncultured soil bacterium
Lineage: Bacteria
Description: bacterial SSU rRNA
Rfam family: Bacterial small subunit ribosomal RNA
Source: RNAcentral
AGAGCGAACGCUGGCGGCAGGCCUAACACAUGCAAGUCGAACGGACUCUUCGGAGUUAGUGGCGGACGGGUGAGUAACACGUGGGAACGUGCCUUUAGGUUCGGAAUAGCUCCUGGAAACGGGUGGUAAUACCGAAUGUGCCCUUCGGGGGAAAGAUUUAUCGCCUUUAGAGCGGCCCGCGUCUGAUUAGCUUGUUGGUGAGGUAAUGGCUCACCAAGGCUACGAUCAGUAGCUGGUCUGAGAGGAUGACCAGCCACAUUGGGACUGAGACACGGCCCAAACUCCUACGGGAGCAGCAGUGGGGAAUCUUGCGCAAUGGGCGAAAGCCUGACGCAGCCAUGCCGCGUGUAUGAUGAAGGUCUUAGGAUUGACAAAAUCUUUCGACCGGUGAAGAUAAUGACUGUAGCCGGAAGAAGAACGCCCCGGACUAACUUCGUCGCCAGCACGGCCGAC